RNAcentral lists this long non-coding RNA (10203 nucleotides) under Nicotiana tabacum (common tobacco). RNAcentral's name for it is "long non-coding RNA (NTAB_LNC008963)". The record is from RNAcentral. Lineage: Eukaryota; Viridiplantae; Streptophyta; Magnoliopsida; Solanales; Solanaceae.
CGGGCAGUGCUCACACCUAGACCUUUUUCAAAUAAGAACUGAUUAUGUGCAGUGUGGAAGUGCCAGCCCUGAUAUACCAGAGUUCAGAGACAUCUCAAGGGUCUCAAAGCAGUACACAUAUCAUAGGGGCAGGACUUAGUAAUCUAAGAGUAAUGUGAGAGUGCAUAAUGAUUUGAAAGAGUUUGGUAAGCAGUAGCAAGAGGGCCUCAGGAAUGAAAAGAUUUUCGAAAACAAUACAUAGUUAGGGGGAAAACAGUUUGAGAAAACAUGAAGAAUAUUUUUGGGAUCAGAGAGCAAGUCACAAAACACACAGUUUCAAAAAAAUAUUUUGGCAAACAGACUUUACACAAGGAGAAUGGGGUAGGAACACCUAGAAUUCACCUUAGUAAUAGUGAACAAAUACACAGAUUCCUCAAGAAGUUGUGGAAUUGACAAGUUAGUUACAAAGAUAUGUUGAGAACACACAGGUCUUAGACACAAACAGGAUCUCAUUAGUGAAGUCGAGCAGGUAAGGCUUAGAUGAAAAAACUAGACAAACACUUCAUGAAGCAUUCAAGGUUUAGAAAUACUAAUCACAUACAGAACAAGCCGAAUUUAGACAUGCUGGGUGAGACAAUAAACAAACAAUGCAGUUUGGACAUACUAGUGAACAAAUAGGAUCCAUGCAAUUAUCUAAAGUAGGAUUGGGCAUGCUAAAGAGUAUACUACUAUAGUUUUUAAUAGAACAAACUUAAACAUGUUGACUGAUACAGUAAUUAGGUAGUAUGAUCUGAGCAUGCUGGUUACACAUUGAGUAUAUGAUAGCAGAGUAGCAAAUAGAACUGGAAAUCACAACUAAUGAACUGCAACAAUAGAGAAAACACAUAGUUUUGGAAUGGGAAUUGAAUCAGAACAUACCAGUUAAGGAGAGAAUGUAGAGUAUAGAGCAGAGAUGGUGCAAAUAGCCAGCCUUGGCUUACAGCCGGCUGGAAACAUAAGAUGAUAGAGAGCUUUUUGAGAGUGUGAGAGUGUAGAUGAACUAGUGUUCAUGUCAGAAGUGAGGAGUAAAGGAGAGCAUAUAUGGCUGUUAAGAGCAAGGAAACUAAGGUAAAAGGAAUCAACCCUUUUGCAAUUAAGGAAGCCACAAAAUCAAUUAUACACCAAUUAGUAUAAUUUUUCCUUAAUUAAGGGUAAUUAACCAAUGGCAGGGGUAGAAUAUAUUUAAAAAAAGAAAAUCAAAUGAGCAAUUAGGGGUAAAUAGAUAGAAAUUUAAUUAAGGAAAUGAUUAGUGAAGAAUCAGUGAAUAUCAUGGUUAAUUGGAUAAGGUAAGAAAGCUAAUCAAGAUUGUAAAUAAAAGAAAUAAUCAGGAAUUAGCACAUAGGUCUUAACAAAACAAAUUGAUAAAUCAAGAAUCCAAAUCAAUUACUGAUUUAAAGAGAAAAGUAUAGGUUUACCAUGAAUAGGCAAAAAUGAACAUAGACGCAUAGAAUCAGUAGGAAAGUCGAACCAAGAACAUUAAUAGAGGCACAAUAGGAUAAAAAAUCAAAAGAUAUCGAAUUAGACUAAAGAAUCAUUGAAACCAAAGAAUAGGACAAAGUUAGUACACAAGUAAUUCAGAAACCAAACAAAUGUCGAAAACAUUAGGGCUUUUAGUAUAAAUGAGUUAGGGUCAAAGCAAACCUUACGAAAUUAGUUAGAACACAUAAGAAGCAGAAGGUUAAACACUCAAAAUUAUCAAACGUUUUAGAGAAAGAAAAUUUCAGGAAAACCUAGUUUGAAAACACUUAAAGAAGAAACUGAAAGGUGUGUCAAAAUACAGAGAUUCGAACAAACAGAAGUCAUAGAAGACAAAAACCUGAAGUAUUGUAGUGUUUAAAAUUGGUUAGUAGUAGAGGAAUAAGAGAAACUUAAAAAAAACGCAGAAACUUGAAAACAUUUCAAUUAUGCAAAGAUCCAAACAAUAGAUAGCAAAGAACCCAAAAUAUGGUGCUAAAAUCGGUUAACAGUAAAUAAAUAAGAGAUCUUUAAAGAAAAGUCAUCGCCAUCGGGACGGAUUCAUGUUCAAAGAUUAGGGUUUUGAGGAGAAAGGGGAGGGGUAAAGAGAACCUAGUUUUGAACUAGAGAUUUGAACCAUGGAACUUCAAUAGAAAUUACUCGCAAGCCAUGGAUGAACCCUGGAAGAGCUUUGAACGAGAUAUUGACCAGAUCUCUUCGAGGUUCUUCCACAAAAACCAAAUAAUCGAACAACCAAUGGGAUAAGAGACAAGUAGAGGCUUCGUACAGCCAUAGUACGCCAUAGAUCGGACAGGGAUUCAAAGGAUUAGGGCCAAUUUUGGGUGACGGCGAUUAGGGUUAGGGGUUGGUUUCAGAGAGAACUAGAGAGAAGAGGAUCCAAGGGCGGUUGUAUGGAGGAAAUGAUUAGGGUUUAGGGGGAUGUUUGAUUAAAAAGGCAAGUAUUGAUGUGGACCGUUGAUCUAAAGGAUCAACGGCCACAAUUUGAUGGGGAUCUUGGGUCGGGUAUGAAGGUUUGGGCUGCGUAUGUUUUGGGUUAAAUUGGGCUGAGUAUUGGGUCCAAUUUAGGAUCAGAAUUGAAUAGAAAAUGGGGCCAGAUUUUAAAUAGCCAAGUUAACAACUAAAUAGUUUAUAAAAAAUAAUAAAUGAGUACCAAAAUGUCUUUGUGCACUAAAAUUAUUUAAAAUAGUUAUUUAAUAUUUUUAAAUUAUGAAAGAUCAUUUUAUGCAUAAAUAAUAUAAUUAUACAUUAGUAUGGAUUAUUAUUGCAAAGAUGUGCAAUUUAGCUUGAAAAAUGUAAAUGUAAUUAUAAAAAAUACACUAAAAAUAUUUAAACACUAUGUUGGCAUAAAUAAUGAAUUUAGAUGGCUAAAUAAUCAUAAAAGUAAUAUGAAAGAUAAUUAUUGGAUAUUAAUAAUAAAAAGAGGAGUAAUAAAUAUAUUUGGAGCCUUUAAAACUAUAGAAAAAAUUAUAAAAUGCUUAUGCAUGCUUAUAACUGCAUAUGUACUAUUUUGAAAGUAUAUAAAUGUAUUAAAAAUAUGUGUGGGAAAAAUUGGGUAUCAACAUGUAGCGAUUGAGAACUUUACGGUUUGUAUAUGGCUAGAACUGAGAUUUACAUUGGAUGGUGUCGAGACUCGUAGUAUUUCUAUUAUUCUUAUGGAUUCUACAUUUCAAUAUCUGGAAGGUGAAGAAAACAACUUUAGAUUCGCAGAAGGUCUCUUUAGAGUGGAUAUCUUGGUUGCGGUACUUUUGGGAUACUUAAGAAGGAAUUCAGCUGCUUAUGGGCCUUAUGGCAGUGUGGUUUUAUGCUAGGAUCUCGUGGAGUCAGCUUUGGUUCAGGAUUAUGGUGUUCUGGCAAGGAGAAGUGUCAACUUGAGGGUAAGUCGGAAGGAACUCAGAGAAAUAGGACAGUUUGGUAGUAGGUUGGAUUAGCAAGGUAAGGGAUAUGAUCGGUUCUUUGGGUGCUUAUGAUGUAGGGGUUUCUGCAGGUGCUUUGUGGCAAUACUCUUGGGUUUGGCGACCUACGUGGCUUGGUUGAGUUAGAGAGAUUCAGUUAUGAUGGCUUGAUUAUGUGCAAAUGGAUUCCAAAGUAUUCUCAAUGAUUUCUACCAUAGUUGGAGAUGGAUAUUUCCUAUCGCCAUGAGAAGCAUGUUGAGUAUUGUGAUUUUGUACUGGAUGGGAUCAAAUGGAAGGUUUCUGGCUGAUCGGAUAUGUAUUCUACUUGUGACUCAAAAUGAUUAUGAGGUUCUCGUAUUUUUCAUAUGAUGGCAUGAUAGAUGCGGUGUGUUGUGUGCGAUUAAGGUUUGCGUGUGCAAGGUCAUGGUUUACUUUUGAAGGGGAUGUCAUAAAUUCUUAGGCAACAUGGACGAUUUCAGCUGACUAGAUGAAUGAUAUUACUUCAUUGGUAUUGCGACACUCUCCUAGUUGAUCGACUGUUGAUUUUCAGAUAUUGCUAUGUGGCACGGAAGAAUUAGAGGAGUAUUUCUCGUAGGAUGAUCAUGUAUGAGAGAUGUGUUAGACAUUCAGGCGGUGGAGUUAGGACCAGAUAUGGUGGUUCGUGUGUUCUAUGGAUUUAGAGACUAGGAGUUCUCAGGAGCAGAUUGUUUCGUAGUUGCGAACUGUGAAAAUAAGGCCAAAGCUAGCCGGAGGAUGAUAGUAUGUGUUAUGAUUCAGUCAUUGUGGAUUUUCGGAAGGUUAUUUAUCUAUUUGUGGGUGACCAGAGUUGAUUUGGGAUCCAUUGGUAUGCCCAAUGAGGAUGUAUAUUCUACACCGGGUCAGAUUAGUUGACUUCAUACUGCUAUUGUAGAGGGGUGUGCCAUUCAGUCAGAGUUGAGUUUGUUAUGUUCAGAUAUGUUCCAUGAGUUACUCUUCUAUGCUAUGAGGGGUUGUGAUUCGUUGGUUAUAUACACACAUGGUGUGGUUCUAUUUGGGACCUAUAGCAAAAAUUAAGCGAGACGGGUAUUUGGGUGUUGCAUGAUUUAUUGUGUAGUGGUUAUGUUCUUUCGGACUUAUAUAGCAUUGUGUCAUUUGCUUCUCCGUGGUUAUGGUAAUGCACUUUGGGAUCUUGAUGCCGAAUUGCACGUGGUUAUUGAUUUUGAGUAAGGUGGCUCGAGGUAUAUAACAUGGACCAACAUUUGGAUGGGGUCACGCAUAGCAGCGGGGUUAUAGAAUCUUGUGAUGGUUUUACGGUGUGUGAUAGAUUUUCAGCAUUUCAUUGUGGCGGUACUUAUUAAUCUUGCGGGGUAGUUCUCUCAUUUGAGUCAUUUUCCAUGACUGAGUACAUUUGAAUUGUUGCAUAUUGGUGCACGGAUGGAACAGUUGUGGCUCUGGGUAGUAUUGGUAUGGCAUGUCAGUAGAGUAGCUGGUAUUUGAUAAGAUGAGGUUGUCGAACCUAGAAUGGGUGCUAUCGGGUCUGAUUUCGGUAUAUUUGAAAGGAUAAUGUCGCUGAUUGACUUAGAAAUUUGCUACAGUUAUUGUUGAGGGAGAGGGAGCUCCAUGACUUUUUGAUUUGAUGAAUGGUUAUGAGUUUUUGCAUGUUUAUUGCAUCAUCGGCAUGCGUACGAAGGUUUUAGAAUAAAUUUUUGUUUGAUAUGAGGCUUAUUGCCGGAUUGGGUUGUUUUGAGCAGCUACUGUGAUUAGAAAUCAUUGCUACGAGUAUUCAAGUUAUGUGGUAUAUCAUGAUAUUGCAUCUUGGGUUAUGGUUACGACUUGGUACAGCUUGUUCAGACUUAUAUAGAGUGUGGAUGCGAGAUUCUGAUCUUAUAGAAUGGAUUCUAAGGCUUAUGGCUAAGUUGAAUUUAAAAAUUUCAGAUAUGUUGUGUUAUCAGACCUAUAUGGGAUACGGUGGCAUGGGAUCACCCUCAGGUAUGUGCAUGGUAAGGUUAUAUGGUGGUUUGAUGGCUUUGGGAACAACUAUUGGCACAUUCGAGGACGAACGUAUGUUUAAGUGGGGGAGGAUGCAACGACCGGACCGGUCGUUUUCAGCAUUUGCACUUCGCUCGGUAGUUUAUGGGCAUGAGUAGCUCUAUAUGAUGUAUUAUGACUUAUGCGAAUCAUCGACUUUGGUUUUCAGGUUAUUCGAAAACGAUUUGGAAAAAUGAAUUUCAAUGUUGAAGCUUUGAGUUGAAAGAGUUCACCAAGUUUGACUUUUGGUGAAUUUGACCCCGGAACGGAGUUUUGAUGGUUCCAUUAGGUUCGUAUGGUGAUUUUGGACUUAGGCAUAUGCUCGGAUUUGCAUAUGGAUGUUUCUAGAAGGUUUUGGCACAAAUUAGCGAAAAUUGAAAAUUUGAAGGUUUGAAAAGUUCAAAAGUUUGACCAAGAGUUGACGUGUGGAUAUCAGGUUCGAAUUGUAGUUCCGGGAGUGGUAAUAGCUUUGUUAUAUCAUUUGUGACUUCUGUGUAGAAUUUGGAUUCAUUUCGGGUUGGUUUGCUAUGUUUCGGCACAAGUUAUGGAAGUUGAAAGUUCAUUAAGUUCGAUUCGAGGUAUGAUUCGUUGAUUCGAUGUUGUUAUGCGUGAUUUGAGGCCUCGAUUAGGUCCAUGUUAUGCUAUUAGACCAUUUGGUAUAUUCAAAAGGGGUCCCGAGGGGCUCAGGUGAGUUUCGGACGAGGUUCGGAGUAUUUUGAAAGUUUGGCUAAGGCUGGUUUGGGCAGAGGUUCUGGUGUAACCGCACCUCUGAAGCCAUGAGCGCAGGUGCGAAGCCACAAAAGCGGUAGUGUCAUCGCAGAAGUGAAGGAAUGCUUGGCUAGGGAUCAUCGCAGAUGCGGAGGAAGAGGUGUGCGUGCGUGUGCGCAGAAGCGGAAGCUGUGAUCGUAGAAGCGGGUUUGUACGCAGAAGCACAUUUUGUCUUGCAUCUGCGCUUGCAUAGAAGUGGUGCCUAUUGCGCAGGUGCCGAAGGGCAGACCUCCAGUGUUUUCCAUAGGAGCGGGAAUUUUGACGCAAAAGUGACGCCGCAGAAGUGGUUCUUUGUUCGCAAAAACGAAAAUCGUUGUGCAGAAGCUAUAUAAAAAUUGAGUGUUUUGGUUCUUUCUUCAUAUCUUGAGAUGCGGGACUCGGAUUGAUGCCAUUUUUGAAGAAAUUUCAUCACAAGGAUUGGGGUAAGUAUUCUACACUUGGUUUUUAUCUUAUUCCAUGAAUCUAUCUUCAUUUUUGGAAAUUGGUUGAUGAAUUUUAAAGAGAAAUUGGGGGGGGGGGGGGGGUUUGCCUAAAGUUUCAUAAAAUGAAUUUUUGAGUUGUGAACACCGAUUCGGAGUCGGAUUUGAAUGAAACUAGUAUGGUUGGACUCGUAAUUGAGUGAGUUAUCCAAUUUUGUGAGUUUUUUUCGCGUUUGGAGGCGCGGGUGCGAGUGUGACUUUUGACCGCUUUUGGGUUUUGAUUAAAGAUUCGAUCUUUAUUAUUUGGGAUUGUUUCCUUGGGCUUUAUUUGGUGUCUUUGAGAUGUUUUUGGCUAGUUUUGAGCCAUUCGGAGGUCGAUACGCGCGAGAUCGCAUUUUAGAGUAUCGCUUGGCUUGCUCGGUAUUGGAAUUGGCUUGUUUGAGGCAAGCAACACUUCUAAAUUUGGUGUUGAGAGUAUGAAAUACCGAAUUACGUAUUAUGUGACUGGUAUUGAGGUAACACCCAUUCUAGGUGAUGGGCGUGUGAGCGUGCACCGUGUAAAUUGUAACCUCAUUAUUUCUGUGCUACUGUGGAGUUACCUGAUCUUACCUGUAACCAUGCAAUUUCUACGUACUUGAGCUAUUGAGCUGUGAUCCAUGUUAGAAACCAUGUCUAGGCUAAAUGCUUAUCCUGUUGGAACCCACUGAGGUCAUUUCUACUGUUGAGUUAUCUGCUUUCAUUGCAUUACAUACUCAUGCAUAUGCAUUCAUAUGAAUAUCAUAUCUCAUUCUCUGUUGUUAUUUAUUGAUACAUCAUAUAAUUAUUUUCGGGAUAGUUCCAUGACAUUGUGAGCCUGUGAGAGAGAGACUAGUAAGAUUGAUGACCGACUGAGGCCGAGAGCCUGAUUGUGAGUGAUAUUAUGGGAUCGGGAUGCACGCCGCAAUAUAUUUUAUUGAUUAUAUUAUGGGAUCGGGUUGCACGCCGCAAUAGGUUAUAUUGAUUUGUGCGAUUCUUGGCUUGAUAUAGCACUUGGGCUGAAAGAGCCGCUCCGGAGUCUGCACACACCCCAGUGAGCGCGGUUGAUUAUAUUAAGGGAUGGAUCUUCCCUGGACAUGGAUCUUUUCCGAAGUAUUUAUAUACCUGGGGAUAGAUCUUCCCCACGUGAUGGAUUUGGCCCUACUCAGUACUGGGUGACUGUUGGUCAAUUGAUGUAUAUAUUCUGGGAUGGAUCUUCUCUGGGCCGGAUUACCCAUAUACAGUACUGAGUGAUGGGAUAUGAUGAGUAGAAAGCAUGAGACAGUGAGAUUGAGUACUCUGAGAGUGUGAUUAGAUGAGUUCAUCUCUGAGAUACAUUGCAUUGACAUGCACACAUGACAUGUAGGUAUAGAUAUGUAUUUUCCUCAUCCUGUAUUGACUUCUCACACGUAUUGGCUGUCACACCUCCUUUUUACCUACACCCCUGGAAGGGUAUAAAUAUAAGGGAGUUUUACCAAUUAAAGGACAAUCGAAACGGGAUUAUAUUAAGAAAUUCAGAGUCUCCACUUGGGAUAAUUUAUGGUGUCCCAAGUCACCGGUUUAGAAUCCCAAAUCGAGGAAAGAUUGACUCUGUUUAAUAGUCCGCGAACCAGAAAUCCGGGUAAGGAAUUCUGUUAACUUGGGAGAAGGUAUUAGGCACUCCCGAGUUCCGUGGUUCUAGCACGGUCGCUUUGAUUAUACUUGGCUUAACUAAAUUGUUUAAUUACUGAACUUAGAACCUAUGUGCAUUUACUUAUUAACCACUUUUAAAUCAAGAAAAUUAUCUUGAAACGGUCACGUGUAUGUGUACCCCUUUGUUUGGCAUGUCGAAAAUCAUGUCACGCGAAUGUGUCCACAAUUAAUAAUGCAUUAUUAUUAUUAAGAGAAUUUGGUUUAAGUUGCGCGAACGCAUACUUCGGUUUUAUUUUCAAAAUCGUAAUUAUGUCACGCGAACGUGUACACAAUCACGGUUAUAGAUUAAAUCGAGCCUAAAGCAAUCUACGAACAUUCAUUUUGGAAACCAUAAUCAUGUCACGCGAACGUGUACAUAAUCACGAUAAUAAAUUCAAAACUUGCCUAAAGGUUCGCCUACGUAUGUGUGGCCGGCCUAAUCAUGCUCCGAUCGAUCCGAACAAUUAAAAGAGAAAUGGAACAGGAACAACAGAGACUUUCUUAAGUUUAAAUUCUUCCUCAUAUUUAUCUAAGACCCAAAUUCCCCUAACAUUACACUAAACUAAAGUUUAAAGCUAGAAUCUGAUUCAUGGUUACUAAUUAAAUAGGAUUAGACUUUGUUUCUGCUUUUCUUUGCAGGUAAUAAUCGAAACAUCCUUUUAUCCCUUGGAUAAAAAUACUGAUGAUAUGAAUGUUACCAACCCUUUUUCCCCUCUAUGAAACAGAGGCAAUCCAAUAAUUUUAAAUUGGUGAGCGUGAUUAGCGCUGCACCCGCUACUAAAAGCUUCUUUUUUAAAUGUAAAUCUAAUUAAGUACUAGAAAUCUCUCUGUGAACCUAUAUAUAUAGCAUCUGAUUCAUAUAUCGUGGGGCAUUCACAACAUUAUUAUAAAAGGAUCAUGGUUUAUUUCAGCAACAAUGAAGAGAAAACUAUUAAAAAGAACAUACACGGAAUUUCUUAACCGAACUAGUCCAAUUCUGAUUAGAACAAACAGAUGCAAAGAUCACUAGGAAAAUCACAAACAUAUUAGCACAAACGUUUCCUCCUCAAUUCAAUAACUUCAUAACCAACAGUAGUCUACACAAAAAUUGCAUUCCAACAGUAUAUAAGAAUUAAUAUGAAACAAAAUUAAAAGAGAAGAAGAAAUUAACCUUUGUUAUCUCAGUAAAACUCGACUAUGCCACAUGACCGAAGAAUAGAACCUCAAACACAGACCGGCGACAACCCCGAACAAACCCGUCAACCAAAGAUCACGCCGGAAAACUCGACCUCGACGACUCGAACUCACAAACGACCCCAAAACUUUAACUGCCUUACGCUCGCUCCCUCACUCCGUUCAUGUGCGUGACUGUGUGCGUGAGAAGGUGAAGCUCGCCGGAUAUGGCAUUUUUUCGGCCAGAUCUGUCACCAAACUGUUAGCGAUGACAUAGGGUGAGGAAGAACGAAGGAUGAGGUCAUUUCGACCAUGGCUAGACGCCAGAGCUUCUGUUUCAAUCCCUUUCCCGCCCUGUUAUUUUCGUGUAUGUCUGUGUGUUCGAAUGGUAUAGCCAAGAUGAAGCUCAGGGUGGUCGUUUGUGGACUGGUUUCCGGCGAGGGGUCGCAAGAUGGAGAAGCAGUAGCAUCUCCUUGUUAUGGUGUUGCUGUUGACAAAAAGCAGUGGAGAGAGGGGUGUUUGGAGGAGACAGAUGCGAGGGGGGGUGGGGGUCGUUCUCUGCUGUCGAGUUUCUAAAGAAGACGAUGCGCAACUUCUGCGUCUUUGUUGCCUUCAGCCUUUUUUCGUUCUUAUUCUUUUUUUUCUGUUAUCUCUUUCGUUUUUCAAAUAUCCGAUGGAGAGGAGGGUCGUUUUUAAAGGUAGGGUUAUUUGGAGAAGAUGACUCGCAGGGGGGUGGGGGGUGGUGAAGAAGACGAUGCAGGGGGGGUGGGGUUCAUUCCCUGCGC